AAAUGGUGCAGAGCCUAUGCGCCAGAGGCAUUUAAUGUGUCAGUCACCACCAACAAUGGAGUUGAAACCAUGAAUAAAAAUCUGAAGGCAUUCUACCUGAAAAUCUCAGGUACUGGGAUUCUCUCUUCUCUACUGGGAACAGUUGUUCGAGAAUUUAUUCCUGACAAAAUGAAAGGCUACGAGCGGCUGAAUUACAAUCAAUCCACAAGCCACAAGAGCUACAAUGAGGAUGUACCAGAGCACCUCAAAAACCGACCAAGAGAUGUGGUCCUCCACUGCUUGAGAAGCAUCAGUUCUGCUUCCCAUUUCACUGCUCAAGAUGUUGUGGAUAAAGGUGAUGGUACAUGCCUAGUCACAAGUGAGCAAUCUCCCCUCUUUUACUCCGUCAACCUUAGAGGGCCGUUGUGUGAGUGUGGUGCAUUUCAAGAUUCUUACCUACCAUGCAAGCACAUGAUUGCCAUUUUUAAUUUCACCAACUACUCAUGGGAUUUUCUCCCUUCAACGUACACAAUGUCGCCAUAUCUUACCCUCGAUACCUUCGAGGAUGGAGGAGGAGAGAGGAUGCUGGAUGGAGGAGAGAGGAUGCUGGAUGGAGGAGGAGGGGGAGAGAGGAUGCUAGAUGGAGGAGGGGAGAGGAUGCUGGAUGGAGGAGGGGAGAGGAUGCUGGAUGGAGGAGGAGAGAGGAUGCUGGAUGGAGGAGGAGGAGAGAGGAUGCUAGAUGGAGGAGGGGAGAGGAUGCUAGAUGGAGGAGGAGGAGAGAGGAUCUUGGAUGGAGGAGGAGAGAGGAUGCUGGAUGGAGGAGGAGGAGAGAGGAUGCUAGAUGGAGGAGGAGGAGAGAGGAUCCUGGAUGGAGGAGGAGAGAGGAUGCUAGAUGGAGGAGGAGGAGAGAGGAUGCUAGAUGGAGGAGGAGGAGAGAGGAUGCUAGAUGGAGGAGGGGAGAGGAUGCUGGAUGGAGGAGGAGGAGAGAGGAUCCUGGAUGGAGGAGGAGAGAGGAUGCUGGAUGGAGGAGGGGAGAGGAUGCUGGAUGGAGGAGGAGGAGAGAGGAUCCUGGAUGGAGGAGGAGAGAGGAUGCUGGAUGGAGGAGGGGAGAGGAUGCUGGAUGGAGGAGGAGGAGAGAGGAUGCUAGAUGGAGGAGGGGAGAGGAUGCUGGAUGGAGGAGGAGAGAGGAUGCUGGAUGGAGGAGGAGGAGAGAGGAUGCUAGAUGGAGGAGGGGAGAGGAUGCUAGAUGGAGGAGGAGGAGAGAGGAUCUUGGAUGGAGGAGGAGAGAGGAUGCUGGAUGGAGGAGGAGGAGAGAGGAUGCUAGAUGGAGGAGGAGGAGAGAGGAUCCUGGAUGGAGGAGGAGAGAGGAUGCUAGAGGAGGAGGAGGAGAGAGGAUGCUAGAUGGAGGAGGAGGAGAGAGGAUGCUAGAUGGAGGAGGGGAGAGGAUGCUGGAUGGAGGAGGAGGAGAGAGGAUCCUGGAUGGAGGAGGAGAGAGGAUGCUGGAUGGAGGAGGGGAGAGGAUGCUGGAUGGAGGAGGAGGAGAGAGGAUACUGGAUGGAGGAGGAGAGAGGAUGCUGGAUGGAGGAGGGGAGAGGAUGCUGGAUGGAGGAGGAGGAGAGAGGAUGCUAGAUGGAGGAGGGGAGAGGAUGCUGGAUGGAGGAGGAGGAGAGAGGAUCCUGGAUGGAGGAGGAGAGAGGAUGCUGGAUGGUGGAUGCAGAGGAGAAAUCAUGGUAGACAGAUUAAGGAUCAAAUCGGCACAGGUUGCAAUGAGAGAAAAACUGAAGAAGUUAACGGAUGACUCGUAUUUGUGUGAUGAUUUGGAGACUUUACAACAAAUGACUGUAGCUCUGGAAAAUAUGACACAAACAAUUGAACAACUGUGCAAGAGAGAGAAUGGACUGAUUCUUAAUAAACUGGAUGACAUUGUUAUGUAUAAAAAACAUGAUCUUAGGGCACUGCCAGUUCGAAAGCACAAAUCAAAACUGUCCAGAAAACGAAAAUGGACCCAAGCUCCCUUGUCGCCCCUAAUCGAACAUUGCGAGGAGGAGACACUGGGCCACAGCUCUUCUGCUGUCCUGCACGGAGCUCGGCAAAAAAAUCCCUAGCUAACCCUAAAUAUUUAUAUUAAACCAUUUUGCAACAGGCAACUGUGUGUUGGUGUGUCUUAUUGCUUCCCACGUCUGCGUCUGCAUCUUUCCCACUCCUGGCUAAUAGUUUCAGCUUUUGUACUGUAUAUCAAGAAAUGAUCACCCUGUACCACACGGCUGACUUGCUGAUGAUUUGUGAGCACUCACGCAUUUCUCUAGGUAUCUUAAGUUUCCUACUGGAGUCAUCAAAACUUUGGACUUUGUGUUAUUGUAAGAAAUAUUGUGUUGCAAAAACUAGAAAUUGUAAAGACAGUGAUGUGUGUACAUUGUGCGAGUAUCCUCACUCGCGAUGUGUGUGCAGUCCAAAAUGAAAGAAAAAACCUUGCAUCACUUGGGAAUCGAACCCCCAAUCAGCAGUCUUUAAACGUUGGUCGUUGGUAACUGUAAACAAAGAGAUCGCAUUUUUUUUAACUGCUAACUAACAAACGGAUUUAUGCGUUCACUGAACAAAGAUUAUGGAAAUAAAAGACCACUUUUCCAUCAGAAAAAUCAUCAGAACCGUUAUUACCAACCCAUAGACGCUAUCAUCAGAACCGCUAUUACCAACCCAUAGACGCUAAAAGCGAAAACCUUUCUCACAUGCACACCCAUCGCGAGUGACGGCUAUGCGCACACAAAGAGAUCGCAUUUUUUUUAACUGCUAACUAACAAACGGAUUUAUGCGUUCACUGAACAAAGAUUAUGGAAAUAAAAGACCACUUUUCCAUCAGAAAAAUCAUCAGAACCGUUAUUACCAACCCAUAGACGCUAUCAUCAAGCGAAAACCUUUCUCACAUGCACACCCAUCGCGAGUGACGGCUAUGCGCACACAUGCACACCCAUAGCGAGUGACGUAGGACGUAAAGUCCCGGUAAGUCCCGCCCAGGUCGAAGUGGCGUC
Molecule: long non-coding RNA, 3005 nt
Filed under: Gadus morhua (Atlantic cod)
Lineage: Eukaryota; Metazoa; Chordata; Actinopteri; Gadiformes; Gadidae
Description: lncRNA (ENSGMOG00000032253.1)
Source: RNAcentral